GUUGUAGAAAAAUUUAUAUUUUACUCUUUCUUAUUUACUUUCUUAGACAUUGGAUAAUAAAGCCCAGGGGGUUAGAAGGACCAUUGUUUUUUCUGAAAACAGCUAGGUUUGGUUUACGGGGUUAAGUGGAAAUUUACAGAGAAGGAACCUUGUAAGAAGUGGGGGGGUGAUAGCAGUAUAAGAAGGCUGUCUGUUUUCAGUGUGAUUUUAGGUCUGUUGUGUUUCAGGGUAGCUGCUGGAACAUUGUGAACACACCUCUUUAAGGAAAAUAAAUUUCUUUCCUUAAAUAUAA
Long non-coding RNA from Cyprinus carpio (common carp), 292 nucleotides. RefSeq lists it as uncharacterized. NCBI's taxonomy places the organism in Eukaryota, Metazoa, Chordata, Actinopteri, Cypriniformes, Cyprinidae. The transcript is spliced from 2 exons. The record is from RefSeq and is a predicted model, not a curated record.